Molecule: transfer-messenger RNA, 363 nt
Filed under: Solirubrobacterales
Lineage: Bacteria; Bacillati; Actinomycetota; Thermoleophilia
Also listed under: 1 other name
Description: WHSW01 sp009379895 Standard tmRNA
Rfam family: transfer-messenger RNA
About the family: Bacterial tmRNA, also known as 10Sa RNA or SsrA, is named for its dual tRNA and mRNA-like properties. Its role is to liberate the mRNA from a stalled ribosome.
Source: RNAcentral
GGGGGCGACAGGCUUCGACGUGGUCGACUCGUGCGAACGGUUGCAGGUCGAGGUUGCCGGAGGCCUCGUAAAACACCGGCAAAAACCAUAAUUGCGGACCACGAGUUCGCCCUCGCCGCUUAGUUAGUAGCUAAGCGAUGAGCGUCGGUCCACCCUCGGCCCGUGGGGUGGGGUGCCGGCGUCAACAACGGGCUCGCCCGGAAGGUUCGCCUCCGCCGACCGGGGACUCUUUCGGAGGUUGUGCUCCACGGUCAGUGCCCGCCGGCGCGGACCCCGCGGAGCGAGAUUCAAGCGCCGGCUAUACCUGUAGACGCUGUUCGUUCGUCACCGCGGAUAGGGGUUCAACUCCCCUCGCCUCCAUCA